RNAcentral lists this ribosomal RNA (393 nucleotides) under Triticum aestivum (bread wheat). RNAcentral's name for it is "partial small subunit ribosomal RNA". The record is from RNAcentral. Lineage: Eukaryota; Viridiplantae; Streptophyta; Magnoliopsida; Poales; Poaceae.
AUGGCACAUGAGAUGACAGACAGAAAGGGCACACAUGAUGAUGAUGCUUCGACCACAAACAAGUCGGUCAUGAAGUUGCCGAUGCUCGGAACGUUGCUAGAGAUGAAAUCACCAAUGUUGGCAUUGUUCACCACUGCAUCAUCUACUAGUCAGUCAGCAAACACACCUCACAAGGUUCAGAGACUCGUAUAUGUGCGGUCUUCCACGGAGCCCAAGAUCUUGAAAGAGUCUACAGGAAUGAUGACACAACUUGGUCGUCGCAGCUCGGCAUCGAAGGCGUCGACAGGUACAGGUGGUAGCAGCACGUCAGUGACACGAGACAAUGUAGCCAGAUCUCUGGCAAACCACCCUGUAAGCAAAAACACAAUCAGACACUCGAAUACAACUGAAUGA